Molecule: long non-coding RNA, 216 nt
Filed under: Eucalyptus grandis
Lineage: Eukaryota; Viridiplantae; Streptophyta; Magnoliopsida; Myrtales; Myrtaceae
Description: long non-coding RNA (EGRA_LNC003539)
Source: RNAcentral
UUUGGACAAGAUAGCAGUGAUCUGGCAGCAUUUGUGUAGAAGGAGCAACUUGAGAAAGGGAAGAUUAUAUGAGACGACAGUACCCCCACCUUUUGGUUCAAGAAUUGGUAAAGGUUUAAAUUUCGAGGACGAAAUUUUUAUAAGAGGGGAAGAGUUGUGACAUCCCGAUUUUCCAAUUCUAUUUUCAAUAAAUUGAGACGGGCAUUUCGUUGGCAC